Long non-coding RNA from Mastomys coucha (southern multimammate mouse), 548 nucleotides. RefSeq lists it as uncharacterized. The transcript is spliced from 3 exons. The record is from RefSeq and is a predicted model, not a curated record. NCBI's taxonomy places the organism in Eukaryota, Metazoa, Chordata, Mammalia, Rodentia, Muridae.
CUACAGUCCCAAACACUGAGCCUACUCUCUUCACUUCUAAACAAGCAGGCGUACAACAACAUGAAUCAACAACAAGAAGGCUGGCGUGAACCCAGAGUUUGAAGACAGACUCAAAGUGGUUUUCACAUUCACAACCCCUUUUCAUAAGAAGAAACCAGAAGGGUCAAAGACAGAUGUCAAGGUGCCUGCUGGCUGCUAAUGAAAUGGAUGUAGAAUUUUCAGCUCCUUGUUCAGUACCAUGUCUGCCUGUGUACCUAUAUACUUCCCACCAUGAUAAUAACAGAAUAAAACUCAAAACCUGAAAGGUAUCCCAAAUUAAAUGUUUUCCUUUAUAAGACUUAAUGUGGUCAUGGUGUCUCUUCACAGCAAUAGAAAUCCUAACUAAGAUGCUCAAAAAAUGUCAUUGUUAUUAUUCUUUUUAUUUUUUAUGUAUUUUAUGUGUAUAUAUUUUGCCUGGGUGUAUAAUGUGUAUCAUGUAUAUGACUGCUGCCCAUAGAAGUCAGAGGUCACUGGACCUCCGGAAGCUAGAGGGUUAUGAGCUGCAUAUG